UACGUAGGAUGCAAGCGUUAUCCGGAAUUACUGGGCGUAAAGCGUGUGUAGGUGGCGCGUUAAGUUAAAUGUUAAAUCUCCAGGCUCAACUUGGGGGCUGCAUUUAAUACUGGCGUGCUUGAGGAUGGGAGAGGUAGGUAGAAUUAGCGGUGUAGUGGUGAAAUACGUAGAUAUCGCUAGGAAUACCAAUGGCGAAGGCAGCCUACUGGCCCACUUCCUGACACUGAGACACGAAAGCGUGGGGAGCGAACAGGAUUAGAUACCCUGGUAGUCCACGCCGUAAACGAUGAUCACUAGCUGUUAGAGGAUCGACCCCUUUAGUAGCGAAGCUAACGCGUUAAGUGAUCCGCCUGGGGAGUACGGUCGCAAGAUUAAA
This 376-nucleotide ribosomal RNA is filed under the name uncultured bacterium. Its description in RNAcentral is "bacterial SSU rRNA". It matches the Rfam family "Bacterial small subunit ribosomal RNA", at positions 524 to 898 of the family's 1533-position model. The record is from RNAcentral.